RNAcentral lists this ribosomal RNA (253 nucleotides) under uncultured bacterium. Its description in RNAcentral is "partial 16S ribosomal RNA". It matches the Rfam family "Bacterial small subunit ribosomal RNA", at positions 524 to 776 of the family's 1533-position model. The record is from RNAcentral.
UACGUAGGGCGCGAGCGUUGUCCGGAUUUAUUGGGCGUAAAGAGCUCGUAGGCGGCUUGUCACGUCGGAUGUGAAAGCCCGGGGCUUAACCCCGGGUCUGCAUUCGAUACGGGCUAGCUAGAGUGUGGUAGGGGAGAUCGGAAUUCCUGGUGUAGCGGUGAAAUGCGCAGAUAUCAGGAGGAACACCGGUGGCGAAGGCGGAUCUCUGGGCCAUUACUGACGCUGAGGAGCGAAAGCGUGGGGAGCGAACAGG